GCGCAUGUUACCUGAAAUUGAAAAGAAAGAUUUCCGUAAAGGUUCUCAGUGGUUUUCUAUGAAGCGACAACAUGCUAUUAUUGUAAUGGCUGACAGUCUUUACUAUACAAUAUUCAAGCGUUUCUGCAAGCGAACUAAGGACGGGCCCAAUUGCUAUGCUGACGAGCACUAUUUUCCAACCCUUUUCCAUAUGAUCGACCCUGGUGGAAUUGCAAAUUG
This 219-nucleotide unclassified non-coding RNA is filed under the name Hevea brasiliensis (rubber tree). The record is from RNAcentral. Lineage: Eukaryota; Viridiplantae; Streptophyta; Magnoliopsida; Malpighiales; Euphorbiaceae.